UCCAUAAGCAACUGAAGAGAAGAACAUGUAUUCAUGCCACGAGGCACGUAUGCUCCACUGUGUUGUAAUAGUCAGCAUAUUUGAGGUCAUUCCAGAUAGUAUCAACUACCAUCCUGGUGUUAUCACUUCCAUUCCUGAUUUAUGAUCCCAUCAUACAAACUUAAGGCCUCUCACCUCAUCAAUUCCCCCAAACUUCAUUUGCACUCGAACAUUAUCAUUUAAUCAGUUCUUCAUUACAUUUUGUAUUGAUGCAAAAUUCAAAGUUUAUAUGAUCUUCCAAUUCUGGAUUUAUAUUUCUAAUUUUACUAAUCAUCUCAUCUUAUGUAAAUUAAUGUCUCCCUAAUGCUAAACACUGUGAUCCAUCUGACAUAUCUCAAACAUUAGUCUAUUGUCACAAAACAUAGUUUCAUUUAUUUUCCCAUUCUCUAUGUGACUAUUCAAUCAACAAAUGCAUAAAAUUUAAAAGAUCUAUUGAUUCUGACAACACCCAUUUUUCC
RNAcentral lists this long non-coding RNA (497 nucleotides) under Elaeis guineensis (African oil palm). Its description in RNAcentral is "long non-coding RNA (EGUI_LNC030838)". The record is from RNAcentral. Lineage: Eukaryota; Viridiplantae; Streptophyta; Magnoliopsida; Arecales; Arecaceae.